This is an unclassified non-coding RNA of Callithrix jacchus (white-tufted-ear marmoset), 289 nucleotides long. It matches the Rfam family "Metazoan signal recognition particle RNA". Rfam says of the family: The signal recognition particle (SRP) is a universally conserved ribonucleoprotein. It is involved in the co-translational targeting of proteins to membranes. The eukaryotic SRP consists of a 300-nucleotide 7S RNA and six proteins: SRPs 72, 68, 54, 19, 14, and 9. The record is from Ensembl. NCBI's taxonomy places the organism in Eukaryota, Metazoa, Chordata, Mammalia, Primates, Cebidae.
GCCACACAUGGUGGCAUGUACUUGUAGUUCCAGCUACUUGGGAGGCAGAGAUGGGGUGGAUCCUUGGGCCCAGGAAGUCUGGGGUUGUAGUGCACUGUGCUCAUUGUGUGUCCUCACCAAGUUUGGCAUCAAUAUGGUGACCUGCUGGGUGUAGGAGACUGCCAGAUUGCCUAAAAAGUGAAAUGGACCAGAUAUGAAAUGAAGCAGGUCUAAACUCCCAUGCUGAUCAGUAGUGGCCUGUGAAUAGCCACUGCACUCUGGACUGGGGCAACAUAGUACGACCCUAUAA